AGGAUGAACGCUGGCGGCGUGCCUAACACAUGCAAGUCGAACGUCCUGUCUCGCAAGAGGCAGGGAGUGGCGGACGGGUGAGUACCACGUGGGUUAUCUACCGUGAGGUGAGGAAUACCGGCGAGAAAUCGCCGACAAGACCGCAUAGCCUCGGUGCAAGUCGAGGAAAGCUCUCUCGAGAGAGGGAGCGCCACACGAGGAGCCUGCGCCCGAUUAGCUAGCUGGUGGAGUAAUGGUUCACCAGGGCGACGAUCGGUAGCUGGUCUGAGAGGACGAUCAGCCACACUGGGAUUGAGAACGGCCCAGACUCCUACGGGGGGCAGCAGUGAGGAAUUUUCGUCAAUGGGGGCAACCCUGAACGAGCAACGCCGCGUGCAGGAAGAAGGUUUUCGGAUCGUAAACUGCUUUUUCUCGGGAAGAGAACGGACGGUACCCGAGGAAUCGAGCCCCGGCUAACUACGUGCCAGCAGCCGC
This 474-nucleotide ribosomal RNA is filed under the name uncultured bacterium. RNAcentral describes it as "SSU rRNA". It matches the Rfam family "Bacterial small subunit ribosomal RNA", at positions 26 to 518 of the family's 1533-position model. The record is from RNAcentral.